Oxyura jamaicensis (ruddy duck) is the source of this 942-nucleotide long non-coding RNA. RefSeq lists it as uncharacterized. The transcript is spliced from 4 exons. The record is from RefSeq and is a predicted model, not a curated record. Lineage: Eukaryota; Metazoa; Chordata; Aves; Anseriformes; Anatidae.
GGUCACCAUGGUCAACACCGUGGUUGGCAAGAGGUCAUUGUGGUUGAGGAGAAGUCAACGGGGUUGGCGUGAGGUCAUCGUGGUGGUCGCCGUGGUCGUCAUCAUGGUUGGCAAGGUCAACGUGGUUGGCGUGAGGUCAUCGUGGUUGAGGAGAUGUCAACGGGGUUGGUGUGAGGUCAUCGUGGUUGGUGUGAGGUCAUCGUGGUACCACCAUGGUCAUCGCCAUGGUUGGUGUGAGGUCAUCGUGGUUGAGGAGAGGUCAACGUGGUUGGCAAGAGGUCAACGUGGUUGGCAUGAGGUCAUCGUGGUUGGCUUGAGGUCAUCAUGGUGGUCACCGUGGUCAACGCCGUGGUUGGCAAGGGGUCAACGUGGUUGGCAAGAGGUCAUCAUGGUGGUCACCGUGGUCAACGCCAUGGUUGACAAGGUCAAUGUGGUUGGCGUGAGGUCAUCGUGGUUGGCGUGAGGUCAUCGUGGUGGUCACCACGGUCAUCACCAUGGUUGGUGUGAGGUCAUCGUGGUUGAGGAGAAGUCAACGUGGUUGGUGUGAGGUCAUCGUGGUGGUCACCGUGGUCAUCACCAUGGUUGGCAAGAGGUCAACGUGGUUGGCAUGAGGUCAUCGUGGUUGGCGUGAGGUCAUCGUGGUGGUCACUGUGGUCAUCACCAUGGUUGGCAUGAGGUCACCAUGGUUGGUGUGAGGUCAUCGUGGUGGUCACCAUGGUCAUCACCAUGGUUGGUGUGAGGUCAUCGUGGUUGGCGUGAGGUCAUCAUGGUGGUCACCAUGGUCAACACCGUGGUUGGCAAGGGGUCAACGUGGGUGAGGAGAAGUCAACGGGGUUGGCGUGAGGUCAUGGUGGUCGCUGUGAUGUCACCGCAGUUGUGACGUCAUCAUGAGGUCACCACCGUGGCGGGGGUGAUGUUGACGCGGGGUUGGCGUGACCUCAC